GUGCGGAUAGCUUAGUGGUAGGGCACUUGCCUCUCAUGUAUGAGGCCCUGGGUUCAAUCCCAGCUCCACA
This 70-nucleotide transfer RNA is filed under the name Ictidomys tridecemlineatus (thirteen-lined ground squirrel). RNAcentral's name for it is "Spermophilus tridecemlineatus (thirteen-lined ground squirrel) tRNA". It matches the Rfam family "tRNA". From Rfam's summary of the family: Transfer RNA (tRNA) molecules are approximately 80 nucleotides in length. Their secondary structure includes four short double-helical elements and three loops (D, anti-codon, and T loops). The record is from Rfam by way of RNAcentral. Lineage: Eukaryota; Metazoa; Chordata; Mammalia; Rodentia; Sciuridae.